UACGUAGGGAGCAAGCGUUGUCCGGAAUCAUUGGGCGUAAAGCGCGCGUAGGUGGCUCUGUAAGUCCGUUGUGAAAGUCAAAGGCUCAACCUUUGAAAGCCGAUGGAUACUGCAGAGCUAGAGUACGGAAGAGGCGAGUGGAAUUCCUGGUGUAGCGGUGGAAUGCGCAGAUAUCAGGAGGAACACCAAUAGCGAAGGCAGCUCGCUGGGACGUUACUGACACUGAGGCACGAAAGCAUGGGGAGCAAAAGGG
This 253-nucleotide ribosomal RNA is filed under the name uncultured bacterium. RNAcentral describes it as "partial 16S ribosomal RNA". It matches the Rfam family "Bacterial small subunit ribosomal RNA", at positions 524 to 776 of the family's 1533-position model. The record is from RNAcentral.